RNAcentral lists this transfer RNA (84 nucleotides) under Chloroflexota bacterium. RNAcentral's name for it is "Chloroflexi bacterium tRNA-Leu". It matches the Rfam family "tRNA". Rfam says of the family: Transfer RNA (tRNA) molecules are approximately 80 nucleotides in length. Their secondary structure includes four short double-helical elements and three loops (D, anti-codon, and T loops). The record is from RNAcentral. Lineage: Bacteria; Bacillati; Chloroflexota.
GCCGAGGUGGUGGAAUCGGUAGACACGCUGUCUUGAGGGGGCAGUGCCUGAAAAGGUGUAGGAGUUCAAAUCUCCUCCUCGGCA